UCACGAUACACAGAAACUGGAGUCAGCCAGGAGCCAAGAGGGUGGCAGGAUUUGAGGAGCAGGUUGUUUUGUCUGUGUCAGCAAACUAAAAACUGAACAAAACAUCAAAGUAACCAUUUCCCGUGAGCCUUCCCAUCCUGAAGAACCAAGGCAGGGGAAAGCAGCCAAGUUUAUUUCAAGGAAGAUGAUGCUCCUGAUCUUCCUCCUCUUCGUAUGCCAGGUAAGAUUUCAAGAUAGCAAUCUUUGAUGAGAUCCUGAAAACAUCACACCAGGAAGUGAUGCAAGAGUAUGUUGAUUUCUUCUUGACUGAGGAGUACCAUCACGUCUGUUGGAGAAUGGAAACCAGUG
Molecule: non-coding RNA, 348 nt
Organism: Anas platyrhynchos (mallard)
Lineage: Eukaryota; Metazoa; Chordata; Aves; Anseriformes; Anatidae
Source: RefSeq, a predicted model, not a curated record